Molecule: ribosomal RNA, 497 nt
Filed under: uncultured bacterium
Lineage: Bacteria
Description: partial 16S ribosomal RNA
Rfam family: Bacterial small subunit ribosomal RNA
Source: RNAcentral
GAUGAACGCUGGCGGCGUGCCUAAUACAUGCAAGUCGAGCGAACGGACGAGAAGCUUGCUUCUCUGAUGUUAGCGGCGGACGGGUGAGUAACACGUGGAUAACCUACCUAUAAGACUGGGAUAACUUCGGGAAACCGGAGCUAAUACCGGAUAAUAUUUUGAACUGCAUGGUUCAAAAGUAAAAGACGGUCUUGCUGUCACUUAUAGAUGGAUCCGCGCUGCAUUAGCUAGUUGGUAAGGUAACGGCUUACCAAGGCAACGAUGCAUAGCCGACCUGAGAGGGUGAUCGGCCACACUGGAACUGAGACACGGUCCAGACUCCUACGGGAGGCAGCAGUAGGGAAUCUUCCGCAAUGGGCGAAAGCCUGACGGAGCAACGCCGCGUGAGUGAUGAAGGUCUUCGGAUCGUAAAACUCUGUUAUUAGGGAAGAACAUAUGUGUAAGUAACUGUGCACAUCUUGACGGUACCUAAUCAGAAAGCCACGGCUAACUACGUG